This 67-nucleotide microRNA precursor is filed under the name Schistosoma mattheei. RNAcentral's name for it is "mir-3492 microRNA precursor family". It matches the Rfam family "mir-3492 microRNA precursor family". The record is from Rfam by way of RNAcentral. Lineage: Eukaryota; Metazoa; Platyhelminthes; Trematoda; Strigeidida; Schistosomatidae.
AACCUUUUGUAUCCGUGCUGAGAUUUCGUCACAUAUGGCUGAUGAGACUUCCAAGAUAAGUGAAGCG